CUGGUGAUGGACAUUGCCUGGAAUGGGUGAGAAAGGAAACAAAGACCCCGGAAGAGACUCGGGUCGCCAUGGAAGACUGGAUGCCUAGGGAAUUAUGGAGUGAGAUAAACUGGCUACUAGUGGGGUUUGGGCAGCAGGUCUGCCUCCCUGUGUCUCCCCGGUGCUCUGAAUGUCUCAACAAGGAUAUCUGU
Molecule: long non-coding RNA, 191 nt
Organism: Xenopus tropicalis (tropical clawed frog)
Lineage: Eukaryota; Metazoa; Chordata; Amphibia; Anura; Pipidae
Exons: 2
Source: RefSeq, a predicted model, not a curated record